Molecule: ribosomal RNA, 569 nt
Filed under: Oenococcus oeni
Lineage: Bacteria; Bacillati; Bacillota; Bacilli; Lactobacillales; Lactobacillaceae
Description: bacterial LSU rRNA
Rfam family: Bacterial large subunit ribosomal RNA
Source: RNAcentral
CGGUAUGAGUAGCGAAAGAUAGGUGAGAAUCCUAUCCACCGAAUGAGUAAGGUUUCCCCCGGAAGGCUCGUCCGCGGGGGGUUAGUCGGGACCUAAGGCGAGGCUGAAAAGCGUAGUCGAUGGACAACAGGUUGAUAUUCCUGUACCGAUAUUUAAUUGCCGAAGGAAGGACGCAGAAGGAUAACACAGGCCACUAUUGGAUGUGGUUUUAAACAGUUAGUCUUCAUAAGAGUCAAAUGCUUUUAUGUUUAAGGAUAAGCUGUGAAUGUACCAAGUUUACUUGGGAAUUGUGUGAUUUCACGCUGCUGAAAAAAGUUUCGUAGGAAGAAAAUAUUGCCCGUACCGCAAACCGACACAGGUACUCGAGUGGAGAACACUAAGGUGAGCGAGUGAACUAUUGUUAAGGAACUCUGCAAAAUGAGUCCGUAACUUCGGAAGAAGGACUGCUGGUUUUAUACCAGCCGCAGCAAAUAGGCCCAAACAACUGUUUAUCAAAAACACAGGUUUCUGCAAAAUCGUAAGAUGAAGUAUAGGGGCUGACGCCUGCCCAGUGCUGGAAGGUUAAAAGG